GCAAAGUAGGAGACCAGUUUCAAUUGAACUCAUAUUCUUGGAUUGAUCAAGAUAAGAAAAGCCAAAUAUUAGCUCCUUGUCAGGCUCUAAAUUCUAGAGCGCAACUCUGGCCAGAUAUAGUCUCUUCAUCUAUAAAAAGGCUCAAAGCUCUAGGUACGAGAAUGAAGUUACAAGCUCUAUACUUCCUCUUCUCCUUCAUCUUUCUACAUAUCCUAUUCCCCAAAGCCCUGUCCGAUGUAAGCAUUGGAGUGCUGGAUCAGCUUCGAUGACCUCCUUUGCUCUUCUUUUUGUGUGUAGACCGGUGCUUAUCUUCCACCACAGUAGAUUAAUCAAUAACUUCCUCAUCUUUAGAUCACGAGACAAGAUUUUGGCAGCAACAAGCUCUACAACAAUUAAGAAACCAAAUCUUGAAAACUGGGUAGCCAAUUUCCGCUCAACUAUGACUUUUCUAAAGAUAAACAUUAGGUGGCUGGCCACUAGGGAUCAAAGUGGGUUGUACCGACCACAUCACAUUUGAUCUCACGCAAAAAAGAAACCAAGAAACCAAGAAACCAAGCAAAUCACAUACAAUAUACAUGAUGCCAUGGAAGGCUAUAUCGCUUGGUUUGGAAUGUAUCGAGCUGUAUUUGAGGUGAAUCGGUAUGAUUUUGCCCCUCAGUUCAAGAAACUAGUAAGAGAGAGCGAGAGGAAAAAUGAAAGAGAGGAAGAGAGAGAGUGAGGGAGAAAGGGAUGGAGAGAGAGAGAUAAAG
RNAcentral lists this long non-coding RNA (749 nucleotides) under Phoenix dactylifera (date palm). RNAcentral describes it as "long non-coding RNA (PDAC_LNC009926)". The record is from RNAcentral. Lineage: Eukaryota; Viridiplantae; Streptophyta; Magnoliopsida; Arecales; Arecaceae.